Podarcis lilfordi (Lilford's wall lizard) is the source of this 437-nucleotide non-coding RNA. The record is from the annotation of a GenBank genome assembly. NCBI's taxonomy places the organism in Eukaryota, Metazoa, Chordata, Lepidosauria, Squamata, Lacertidae.
GUGUUAGCUCAGUUGGUUAGAGCAUGGUGCUGAUACAGUGGUACCUCGCAAGACGAAUGCCUCUCAAGACAAAAAACUCGCAAGACGAAAGAGUUUUUCGUUUUUUGAGUUGCUUCGCGAGACGAAUUUCCCUAUGGGCUUGCUUAGCAAGAUGGAAACGUCUUGCAAGUUUGUUUCCUUUUUCUUAAAACCGUUACAGUAAUACAGGAUGCAUUGCUUGAAGAGGUGCAGUUGCGACUUGACUUCGGGGAGCAACUCAUAGCACGCGGUGUGGUAGCCUUUUUUGAGGUUUUUGAAGAUUUUUUUGAAAAAAAUGAAACCGUGCUUCGCAAGACGAAAAAACUCGCAAGAUGAAAAAACUCGCGGAAUGAAUUAAUUUCCUCUUGCGAGGCACCACUGUAAUACUAAGGUUGCAGGUUCUAUCCCUGUAUGGGACA